This 72-nucleotide transfer RNA is filed under the name Niveomyces insectorum RCEF 264. RNAcentral describes it as "Sporothrix insectorum RCEF 264 tRNA". It matches the Rfam family "tRNA". Rfam says of the family: Transfer RNA (tRNA) molecules are approximately 80 nucleotides in length. Their secondary structure includes four short double-helical elements and three loops (D, anti-codon, and T loops). Lineage: Eukaryota; Fungi; Ascomycota; Sordariomycetes; Hypocreales; Cordycipitaceae. The record is from Rfam by way of RNAcentral.
GGGGCCAUGGUUUAGUGGCUAGAAUACUUCGUUGUGGCCGAAGAGACCCGUGUUCGAUUCACGGUGGUCCCA